RNAcentral lists this ribosomal RNA (624 nucleotides) under uncultured archaeon. Its description in RNAcentral is "bacterial SSU rRNA". It matches the Rfam family "Archaeal small subunit ribosomal RNA", at positions 146 to 774 of the family's 1478-position model. The record is from RNAcentral.
GUAAUACUCCAUAGUUCGUUAUUACUGGAACUGUUUUUCGAACGAAAGAUCCGUCGCUUCAGGAUGAGUCUGCGGCCGCUUAGGUAGUUGUUGGGGUAAUUGCCCAACAAGCCUGUAAUCGGUACGGGUUGUGGGAGCAAGAGCCCGGAGAUGGAUUCUGAGACACGAAUCCAGGCCCUACGGGGCGCAGCAGGCGCGAAAACUUUACCAUGCGGGCAACCGUGAUAAGGAAACCCCGAGUGCCAGCACAGGCUGGCUGUCCGCCAGUUUAAACAACUGGCGAAGAAAGGGCCGGGCAAGACCGGUGCCAGCCGCCGCGGUAAUACCGGCGGCUCGAGUGGUGGCCGCUAUUACUGGGCUUAAAGGGUCCGUAGCUUGAUAAUAGGGUCCCUUGAGAAAUCCGCCGGCUUAACUGGCGGGCGUUCAGGGGAAACUUGUUUUCUAGGGACCGGGAGAGGUGAGGGGUACUGCCGGGGUAGGAGUGAAAUCCUGUAAUCCCGGUGGGACCACCUAUGGCGAAGGCAUCUCACCAGAACGGGUCCGACAGUGAUGGACGAAAGCUGGGGGAUCAAACCGGAUUAUAUACCCGGGUAGUCCCAGCUGUAAAAUAUGUGCGUUAAGUGU